GCCCCUUUAGCUCAGUUGGUAGAGCGCGGCACUAGUAAGUCAUCUGACCUCAUAAUGCCGAGGUCAUCAGUUCAAAUCUGAUAGGGGGCA
This is a non-coding RNA of Glutinoglossum americanum, 90 nucleotides long. Lineage: Eukaryota; Fungi; Ascomycota; Geoglossomycetes; Geoglossales; Geoglossaceae. The record is from the annotation of a GenBank genome assembly.